RNAcentral lists this ribosomal RNA (920 nucleotides) under Salinicola salarius. RNAcentral describes it as "bacterial SSU rRNA". It matches the Rfam family "Bacterial small subunit ribosomal RNA", at positions 56 to 968 of the family's 1533-position model. Lineage: Bacteria; Pseudomonadati; Pseudomonadota; Gammaproteobacteria; Oceanospirillales; Halomonadaceae. The record is from RNAcentral.
UGCAGUCGAGCGGCAGCACGGGGAGCUUGCUCCCUGGUGGCGAGCGGCGGACGGGUGAGUAAUGCAUAGGAAUCUGCCCGGUAGUGGGGGAUAACGUGGGGAAACCCACGCUAAUACCGCAUACGUCCUACGGGAGAAAGCGGAGGAUCUUCGGACUUCGCGCUAUCGGAUGAGCCUAUGUCGGAUUAGCUAGCUGGUGAGGUAACGGCUCACCAGGGCGACGAUCCGUAGCUGGUCUGAGAGGAUGAUCAGCCACACUGGGACUGAGACACGGCCCAGACUCCUACGGGAGGCAGCAGUGGGGAAUAUUGGACAAUGGGCGAAAGCCUGAUCCAGCCAUGCCGCGUGUGUGAAGAAGGCUUUCGGGUUGUAAAGCACUUUCAGCGAGGAAGAAAGCCUUUGGGUUAAUACCCCCAAGGAAAGACAUCACUCGCAGAAGAAGCACCGGCUAACUCCGUGCCAGCAGCCGCGGUAAUACGGAGGGUGCGAGCGUUAAUCGGAAUUACUGGGCGUAAAGCGCGCGUAGGUGGCUUGGCACGCCGGUUGUGAAAGCCCCGGGCUCAACCUGGGAACGGCAUCCGGAACGGCCAAGCUAGAGUGCAGGAGAGGAAGGUAGAAUUCCCGGUGUAGCGGUGAAAUGCGUAGAGAUCGGGAGGAAUACCAGUGGCGAAGGCGGCCUUCUGGCCUGACACUGACACUGAGGUGCGAAAGCGUGGGUAGCAAACAGGAUUAGAUACCCUGGUAGUCCACGCCGUAAACGAUGUCGACUAGCCGUUGGGACCUUUAAGGACUUAGUGGCGCAGUUAACGCGAUAAGUCGACCGCCUGGGGAGUACGGCCGCAAGGUUAAAACUCAAAUGAAUUGACGGGGGCCCGCACAAGCGGUGGAGCAUGUGGUUUAAUUCGAUGCAACGCGAAGAA